UACAGAGGUGGCAAGCGUUAGGCGGAAUCACUGGGCUUAAAGCGGGUGUAGGCGGAUCGUUAAGUGUCUUGUGAAAUCCCACGGCUCACCCGUGGAACUGCUGGGCAUACUGGCGAUCUUGGGCCAACUAGGGGCAACUGGAACAAGCGGUGGAGCGGUGAAAUGCGUAGAUAUCGCUUGGAACGCCAAAGGUGAAAACAGGUAGCUGGGGGUGUGCUGACACUGAGACACGAAAGCCAGGGGAGCAAACGGG
This 253-nucleotide ribosomal RNA is filed under the name uncultured bacterium. Its description in RNAcentral is "partial 16S ribosomal RNA". It matches the Rfam family "Bacterial small subunit ribosomal RNA", at positions 524 to 776 of the family's 1533-position model. The record is from RNAcentral.